RNAcentral lists this ribosomal RNA (274 nucleotides) under uncultured bacterium. RNAcentral's name for it is "partial 16S ribosomal RNA". It matches the Rfam family "Bacterial small subunit ribosomal RNA", at positions 523 to 796 of the family's 1533-position model. The record is from RNAcentral.
AUACGUGAGGGGCAAACGUUGUUCGGUGUCACUGGGCUUAAAGAGCGCGUAGGUGGUUAUGCAAGUAAGGUGUGAAAGCCCUCGGCUCACCCGAGGAAUUGCGCUUUAUACUGCAUGACUUGAGGAUCAGAGGGGUAGGAGGAACUCCAGGUGUAGCGGUGAAAUGCGCAGAUAUCUGGAGGAAGGCCGGCGGCGAAGGCGUCCUACUGGCUGAUUUCUGACACUGAGGCGCGAAAGCGUGGGUAGCGAACAGGAUUAGAUACCCUAGUAGUCC